This is a long non-coding RNA of Manis javanica (Malayan pangolin), 6412 nucleotides long. RefSeq lists it as uncharacterized. The record is from RefSeq and is a predicted model, not a curated record. Lineage: Eukaryota; Metazoa; Chordata; Mammalia; Pholidota; Manidae.
AAACCCCAGCUCCCCUCCUGACUCACUCUCAAGUGCUCUCUCAGGGAAACAAGGUAAGAACAGGUCCUAAAUCCCCACCCAAAUCCACAGGGCCAGAUGUCUUUUAGAAUCCAGAGUCUCUUAGAUUUCAGAAAAGCCACUGGGGGCACAAACCAACCACGACAGAACAGCCCAGCACAGCCUGGGUGCACCCAGUAGCCCAGGGUCAGUAUUCUCCAUGGCGAAAUGUGUGCACAUUCACUGCACGUGAUCAGUAAAGACCACAACAGCCUCGUGUCAGUUCAGGCCAGGCUGUGCUGCCAGACUUAGGACACGGGUUUCAGUCUGGCAGGUUCGGGAGUCAGGGAGGGUCACUGGGAGGCCGAGAGGCCAUCGCGUGCUGUCAGCGAGCCCUGCUCCUGGGCUGCUCCUGCAAUCACACUGGCCUCCUGGGCGCAGUGGCACGGUAACAAGCACGGUGGCAAUUGCAGCUGCAGGUGUGUUAGCGUCUGCUGGCAGUGACCCUGCAGCCACCUCCCAGAUGGCAUGGCCUAACAGGGCGCAGGGCAGUGGAGUUUGGAGAGGCUUUAUUGGCACCCAGGGUCCAACUACCCCUGGAUGUCACCCUGUCCUUCCUGGACUCAGAGUCCUGCUGACAAAGUCCAUAUGAGCCAAACGCUGUAAUGCAGUCUCCCUCCUGGAAGACAAGGGGGACAGGACACCCCUUUUUCUCACCCUUGCCACAGCAGAGAGCCCCCUGGGAACCAAGGCCCUGGAAAGCUGGGGCAGGCAGCCCUCCCCUGGCAGCAGUGUCCUCCAGGCCAGACCUCAGGACAUGUGGGGCAGGAGACAGCGUCCUGAUUCAGCAGGGCAGACCCACCGACCAAGCCUGAGAGUCUCCACAAAAGGGACACUCAAUUCAAGGGGGUCAUUACAGACCGAGCCACCCAGCUGAUCAGCGCCCAUUCCAGCACAGAGCCUGUUUGCACACCCUUCAGUGAGGCACGGGGGCUCCUGCUUCUGAAUGAAGGCUUCAGUCCUGUCCCCCUCGGAGCCUGGCCUCAGAACUGGGGCACGUGCCGAGCAGGGGGGCACAGGCGGGCACACAUAUUAAAUUCCUCUCGGUUUGCACAACUGAGCUCUUGUUUCUCUUCUGAACAGUGUAUCUUAGGAAGGGGCCCCAAACAAAGUAGGCUUGCUAAAGCACACACUCUCUUUAAGGGGCCUUUGGUUUCAGCUCCACACUGCUAAUUCUGGGUCCACCCAGGGGCCAAAGUCUCCGAGGCUCCUGCCUGGUUUAUGGAGGGGUAUCACUCAGGAAGUUUAAGGUUCUCCUCAGAAAGAACAGUCGCUCUGAGAUUUGGGGGUGGCCCACAAGACCAUUUGCAAGUUCGAGGGGGUUCCUAAAAUCACCCUCAGAAGGCCUCACAAACUCACUGGGAGCUGGUAAACUCACAGUUGUAGUUUAAUACAGCAAAGGAUGCAAAUUCACAUCGGCCAGGGCAGGAGGCCCACGGGCUGAGCCCAGGUGUGGCCAUGCCAGUGUGUUCCUGUUGACUGUCAGCCCAUGGAACUGUGGACACUUCCAGAGGUCAUCAAGAACAGCGGCCACAUCCAGAGGUGUUGUCUGUGCCAGCCUCGCCCUGCAUCCCACCGCAUCCCACCCAGCCUCGAGCGGCCACCCUGCCGGCCAGGAAGCCCAGGUAACACAGCAACGGGAGGAGGCUGGGGACCGCCGGAAGCUCUCUUGGCAUGUGGCACUGACAUUCUAUGGCACACAGGCAAUCUCCAGAGCCAGUCGAGACUCAGAGAGCAGCUUCCACAUGGAUCCCAAGGUCAAACAUUUACUGGACCAAGGCCCAGUGCAGCCAGGGCUGAUUCCCAGAAAGACCACAGGAGUAACUUGCUCCUGAAGCAAAGCCAAGUUUGCUCCUUGCCUCUACUUCCUGCUACUUCCCACGUCCUGCUGCCCGCUGCCUGGACGGGACCUUCUUCAGGUCUCAGGAAGGGGACUUGAGGGACAUGGCCCUACUGUGUGUGGGGUCUGGUUUUGCCCCUCUAAGGCAGGCCUCACACUGCAAGGAUGGCAAGCUGUUUAGCUUUGUUUACCCUCAUAAUUUUCUUUAACCGUGGUACCUGCACAUACCCGAAAAUGGACCCUCUUAACCAUUUUCAGUUGUGCAGGUCGGUGGUAUUAAGCUCAUCACAUUGUGGUGCAGCCACCCCCCCACCCAUCCCCAGACCUCCUUCAUCGUCCCCAGCUGAAACUCUGUCCCCAGUGAGCGCUGACUCCUCACCCCUCUCCAGCCCCCGGCAUCCACCACCUGCUUUCUGUCUCUGUGAACCUGACUCCCCCAGGGACCUGGGACAGCGGGGAUCAUACAGGACAUGUCCUUGUGUGACCGGCGUACCUCACUCAGCAUGAUGUCCUCAAGGGUCACCCACGUGGUAGCCUGCAUCAGGAUCGCCUUCCUUUCUAAGGCUGGAUAAUCUCGCGUUGUGUGGAUGUCCCACUUUUGUUUACGGGUGACCAUCCAUCCCCCAGUGGACCCUUGGGUGGCCCCCCACCUAUUGGCUAUUGUGACUCAUGCCGCCAUGAACACGGGUGCGCAAGUACCUCUCUGAUUCGCGGCUCCAUUCUUUGGGGAGGAUACCCAGGCGAGGAACCGCUGGAUCAAAUGGUGGAUGGGGCAGAUGCCACCUCUGGCCAAGCUCCAGGAGGGCCACCUUCCGCCCUGUCAGUUACCCUGAGAUGCCCAUCACCCAGUCCACGUGACCCUGGCCAGCCAGCACAGGGAGGGCUGGGGGUCAGGGCUAGAGGUUGGAACCAUGGCCCAAGGAUCCAGCCUCUAGGGACACACAAGUCAACCAAGAAUUACAGUGUGGUGACGAGCGUGAAACCAGAAGCUUUGUGAGCAGGAGGACAUGCGCCCGCCUGGGACUCCGGGGGGAUCAAAGGACACUGUGCGUGUGCCUCCCAGGCAGAGGUGCAACAGCUGCUUUCUGAGUGACCCGAAGGCGUCCCUUCCCCCAGCUGGGCCCUGUUCCUCCUUUAGCCCUUCAGAGUGGGAGGUGGUGGCCUUCGCCUUGCCCAGGUGUGUCUGCUUUGUCUGGAACCAGGCAGGGGGCAGGAGCCUGCCCCAGGGGCGGGGCUGGGAAGGCAUGUGUGGUGGGGUCUGCAAAGCAAGGCAGGAGGCGCCUCUCUCGGCUGGCAGGCCUGGGACGCAGGAGGCCCAGGCAGAGAGAGGGGAGGUGGGCACCCAGGGGGCCUUGGACAGAGGCCGAGGGCAGGUGGCUGGGGGAGGCACUUUAGAGCACCCAGCACCUCGCCCUGCUCCACCUGUGCUGUUGCCCCAGUUCCGGGGGCUCAGAAGCCCUCCACAGUCUGCAGCAGGUCCCCCGCCCUGUCCCUCCUCCGCCCUGCUCCUCUGGCCCCACCCCACAACACACCCAUUCUGACUAGGGUCUUCCUCUCCUGCUUGUCCUCUGUCCCUGUCCCCUCUCCUCUGCUGCCUGCGUCCAGACUCUGGUCACCGUGAGCUCCAGGACCUGCUCUGCCCUGGGGUUUGGGGAUGAACUUUCCAUCUGCCAGUUUGACCAGCCCCCACCCAGUUUCAAAGCUGUCACUGUGCCCCCUUCCCUUGCAGCACCAGAGCGAGUUUGUGUCUCCCAUGAACCUCUGCCAGCCACAGCCGGCUCCUCAGCCUCACUACCCUGCACUGCCCUGGCCCCCAGCCCCACAGUGCCACACUGCCACACCUCCGUGCCUUUGCACAUGCUGCUGCUCAGCAGGCCCUCCCUCUGCCGCCACCACCACUCUCCUUGCUCCGUCGCGUCAGGCGGCCACAGCCCCUCUGCCCCUUCUUCCCUGGUGAGAAAGGCAGUGCUAGGGGGACUGCUUGUUUCUUGAUUGUCCCUCUCCAGACCACAGGUGCCUUCAGGGCUGCGACACCCACUGUCUCCCCACUGCACCGUGUUCUCAGUCCCUAUGUCGGGAGCUGGCACCAAGUAGCUACUCAGUCAAUAUUAAAUGAAGGAAUUAAUGAAUGAGGCCCUAAUGAAAAGCUAAAAAUGGACUGCCCCUCCCAAGGCCUGACCCACUUUCUGAGCCUCACAGCUGCUCAGGGAAGCAGCACUGAUUCUUGUGACGUGCAGUGCUGUCACACCAACGAGCCUCUGACUGCACCAGGCUCUUGCCCCGGCAGAACAGGACCUCUGGACAGGGCAGGGGCCCCUGGCAGGACAGGCUGGCCCAGGCUGCUGGGCCCACGAGGACAGGAGGGAGGGUCCAGAUCUCCGAGGGCCCUAGAGGCAGGCUGAGGGAGGCCCCCAGGGCUUCGGGGUCAGGCUGCCCUCCUGGGCACCAAGCCCCUCAUGUCCCAUGACUGAGAACUGGGGUUCCCUGACCCUGUUGAGCCUCAGUUUCCUCACCUGCAAAAUGGAGUGGCAUUGCUCAUGAGCAUGAGCCGGCAUGGGGGCCGGCACACUUUUUCUACAAAGUGCUGGGUAGUAAAUAUUUUAAGCGCUGGGGGCCAAAACUGUCUCUGUUGCAAACACCCAUGCGGCUCCGGCGUGGAGGCAGCGCAGACGAGAUGUAAAUGAACGCGCGUGGCUGUGCUCCAGCAAAACUCUAUUUAUGGACCCUAGGUUUUGAAUUUCAUAUAACUUCACAUGUCAUGAGAUGGUUUUUUAUUUUUUCCCCAACCACUUAAAACCAUAAAAAGAAAGCUUAGUUUGCAAGAUGCACAAAAGCAGGCGGCCAGCCGGUUCAGUUCACUGGCCAUGGUUGGCUGUCCCUGAAUGACAUCGCAUCACUGUACGUUCUUGGCCUUCUGCCCUACAGGGAGACACUUGGAUAUUUGAUAUUAAAAUAAUUGCCUUCUUUAGGUGUUUACUCAACAUAGAAUAUUUGUUAAGCAGCUAUUAAAUUUCAAGGCCAUCUAUAGAUGGAGCUAGUUGCUGGAAUGAUGGAAUGAGCUCCCCAUGCCUAGGGGUGUGCAAGCAGAGUGGAACGACAGGACAGGGAAGCUGUACAGAGAAUUCAGCUGUCAGGGAGGGAGUGUGAGGAAGUGCAUCUAGCCUUCUUUUGGUCAGAUAAUGGAUGAAGUGCAGGCCUACAGCUUCAGUUGAACCUGGGGAACUGGGCCCCAUCUCCCUCCCUGGCCCCACCACUGGCACAGGGAACAAUAAUCAGGGGUAGAAUAAAAGCCGAUACCCAUGUGCCCAGCAGCACAUGAUGCUAGGGCUCUGGGAGGCACCCACCCAGUUGUUACUGUCUGUUUGGGUCCCCAACGCCAGCCCUGAGACAAGGAUUUGGGUAAGAGUGAGAAGGUGAUUCCAGAAAGCAUAUGAGGAAGUGGGGGUGUGAGUUGGGGUGGGUGGCAGGUUUACAAAGGAUGUGUUAAUGAGCAAGUACCAUUGUGGCCACCUGGGGCUCAGCCUCUCAAGAACCCUCAGAGGGAGGGUAGGGGGCACACCUGGGCUGUCCCAUAGCCAGAGGAUGAAGCUGGGUACUUAUCCUCCACGCCUGCCCCUUGGUGGUUGAGGGUUUGCUCCUGGGCUGUUGCCUCGGGCCCAGCUCGCCUACCUGGUGCCCCAAGGUCAAGGCACACUCCUGUGGCCAGAACCCCUGCACCCCAUUCAGAAGCUGACUGAGUGUCCAGACAUUGCCUACAGGCUCCAGUACCUUCAGGGCAGGCCAAGGGCAUGACCAGGAACAGGCCGAGGACCUAACUCACACCGGCUCUCGCUCCAGACUUGCAUGGGGCCCCUGCUGUAAACACAAAACCAGACCUAGGCACCCCACCUCCCCAUUCCAUGUCUCUGAGUCACGUGGCUGCAGCUGCAAGCCUUUCCCAACUGGGAGUUGACCUCCUCACUGCAACACGUCGGGGUUGUCACGGGGACUCAAUGAGAUGACCUGUGUGAGCGCAGCAGACAGGUCCUACACAUCGUAGGCACUCAGUAACGACUGCCUCAUCACGCUGCAACCUUGGUGGCCCAUGUCUCUGGCCAACUGAGCCUUGAUUUUUCGCAAUUGACCCCAAUCCUGCUGUAAGAGUGGCCACAGUUGGCUUAAGCCAAUGAGCAUGUCUCACCUCUGGCUAUUGUGAUUGAUCAGGGAUGGGCAUGUGACAUAAUUCUAGCCAAUAACACAGGAAGUUUUAGGAUAUGGUUGGUGCUCCUAAAAAUGACUCUCUGCCCCAUGAUGGUGUGAUGGGGAGAUUUAAGUGUGUGAGUUUGUGCUGAGGUGGACAUUUUGCUACCAAGAGAAGAUCAGCAAGGGUUGCUGGGGGCACCAAGGAUGAAACCAGGUAGAGAGACAAAGUACAGCUGUGUUUAUAGUAAUCGUGUUUUGAACUGCUGCAUCAAGCCUUACCUGAAGCCUCUAACUUCUCAGUUACAUAAACUAAUAAAUUCCCUCUAUGUUAAA